RNAcentral lists this long non-coding RNA (684 nucleotides) under Homo sapiens (human). Its description in RNAcentral is "HSALNT0283015". The record is from RNAcentral. Lineage: Eukaryota; Metazoa; Chordata; Mammalia; Primates; Hominidae.
GCGACAGCAGGGACUGGUGGAAUCCCGAUGUGGCUGAGGGGCCGCCACCGCCAGCAGGGAGGCGGAGGGCUAGCGAGCCAAGCGGUGGGGACGCCGCUGCCUUCCUCUUUGCCUGUCUCGCCGCCCUCCUAGACACGCUCCUCAUCUACGGAUCCUACCCUCCCCGCUCUUGCAAGCAUUCACUCGGCCGGUCGCCUGCUGACCCUCCUUCGCCACAGGCUCGUAGCGGAGGCAGCAGCGAGGCAUGAAGACCCCCAACGCACAGGAAGCCGAAGGGCAACAAACCAGGGCAGCUGCAGGACGGGCCACUGGGUCUGCAAACAUGACAAAGAAAAAAGUCUCCCAAAAGAAGCAGAGAGGCCGACCUUCAUCCCAGCCCCGCAGGAACAUCGUGGGCUGCAGAAUUUCUCAUGGAUGGAAGGAAGGAGAUGAGCCCAUCACGCAGUGGAAAGGAACCGUUCUGGAUCAGCUGCCUGAAACCACAGGUGGUUCCGACAAAUAAUCCACUAAAAGAGGCCUGCUGUCCCAAGAAUCCACAUUCUGGUUAGACCUUCCCCACAAAGCUGGUGUCUGCAGACCCCUCACAGGCACCUGUUGGCCAGUCUUGCCUACCCCAGCUCACAGAGACCUGUGAUGGAAUUCUGGUCAGCUCUUUGUUUCCAGGUGAGGCAGAUGCCAUGGGGC